Long non-coding RNA from Phascolarctos cinereus (koala), 546 nucleotides. RefSeq lists it as uncharacterized. Lineage: Eukaryota; Metazoa; Chordata; Mammalia; Diprotodontia; Phascolarctidae. The record is from RefSeq and is a predicted model, not a curated record.
CCCAACCCAUGGAAGUGGAUUGGUGAGGAAAGCCCUGUAAUGGGACAAAGGCCAACACACCACCCUGCCUGGGAACUCCUUCCUCUGUCUCAUGGCUGAUCUCAGGAGGAUCCUUUCUGAGCUGACUCAGAGAUUUUUAUUGGAUUACUUUUCCAUCUGAUCCAGGGGCAGAGACACUGAGACUUUCUUGACACCCUCCUCAGAGUGAUUUAUAGCCUGGGACCAGUGGCCAGUUGAAUUUCCCUGGUAUGGCUCAGUGGAGGACCGGGGCAUAACUCAGCCACAUCCAUCACUAAUCAUGAUUCAGUCUGCUGGCUUUCUUGAUGAUGCUAUCUAGAGAAGGCAGCUGAUACAGACAGUAAUCGGCACUGGCAGCUGGCAGAAGGAGGGAGCAGCAGUCGUCUCUGUCCUCAAGAAAUCCUUCUACCAAGGGAAGUUCUGCACAACUGUGCUCAGCUGGAAGAAGAUGAGGCCAAGGGUUGACAAACCAUCCUGACUGAAGCAGACAGAAACCCGGAGGGAGAGACAGGAGGUAUCCUAUACCAG